UACGUAGGUGGCGAGCGUUGUCCGGAAUUACUGGGUGUAAAGGGAGCGUAGGCGGGUCGGCAAGUCAGUGGUGAAAUACAUGGGCUUAACCCAUGAAUUGCCAUUGAAACUGCCGGUCUUGAGUGGAUCAGAGGCAAGCGGAAUUCCGAGUGUAGCGGUGAAAUGCGUAGAUAUUACACAGAACACCGAUUGCGAAGGCAGCUUACUAAUCCAUCAUUGACGCUGAGGCACGAAAGCGUGGGGAUCAAACAGGAUUA
RNAcentral lists this ribosomal RNA (257 nucleotides) under uncultured prokaryote. RNAcentral's name for it is "partial 16S ribosomal RNA". It matches the Rfam family "Bacterial small subunit ribosomal RNA", at positions 524 to 780 of the family's 1533-position model. The record is from RNAcentral.